CGUUCCCGGACCUUGUACACACCGCCCGUCAAGCGAUGGAAGUUGGGAGGACCUGAAGACAGUUGUUGCAAGACGCUGUUUAGGGUUAAACCGAUGACUGGCGGCU
This 106-nucleotide ribosomal RNA is filed under the name uncultured bacterium. RNAcentral's name for it is "partial 16S ribosomal RNA". The record is from RNAcentral.